Non-coding RNA from Gammaproteobacteria bacterium, 70 nucleotides. Lineage: Bacteria; Pseudomonadati; Pseudomonadota; Gammaproteobacteria. The record is from Rfam.
AACCGCCGUAUGCGACAUCGCACGUACGGUGGUGUGAGAGGACGGCGAGGUGACUCGCCUCCUACUCGAU